RNAcentral lists this long non-coding RNA (756 nucleotides) under Rattus norvegicus (Norway rat). RNAcentral's name for it is "long non-coding RNA NONRATT027279". Lineage: Eukaryota; Metazoa; Chordata; Mammalia; Rodentia; Muridae. The record is from RNAcentral.
UAGAGGGCGCUAUCGUACGCACAAGGUUCAAGCUAAAGACAAGGACAUAAGAAUUUAGGAGAUCACUCAAGGUUCUUUCGUGGAAAUGCAGUUGGAAGCCUGAGCUAAGGAAAACCACUUCGUUUACGGAGUUGAAAUAGUUGGAGCUAGCAGACCCGUGGCAGUCGUGAGACACACAACCUAGCUGUUAUUUUGGUUGUUACCCUCUGGAAAAUAGGUGUAUAAAGGACUGCAUUAGUGAGAAGUUCAUCUCCCACUCCGUUGUUUGACUAACUGGGCAUGCCUAGAUACAUGUGAAUGUAAUAAUGAGGGUAUCGUCUUAUCAAAGUGUCCCGUGCUGCUACUGUCGGCGCCGCUGCGGUUUGCUGCAGGGUCCCAGAACCGUAGUGGAGCAUGAACCCACAUUUGCUUUUGUGAGUUUACUCACAAAAUAUUUUAUCUUUCAUCAAGUUUUUGUGCCUUGUCUGUGGCCCAGUGUAUAGUUGAAGCCUUUUUAAGUGUGGUCUCAUACUAUGUAGUUCAGGCUGGCCUUGAACUCUGUCAUCUCACCUGCUCACUUGUGGACUCAGGGGCCUGUCAGCUCAGCUGGCCUUAAUGCAAUGCGGCUGAAACGGGAACUUGAGGAAAAGUCAGCUGGCUGGGGUUCCCAGGGCACAGGGGGGAAGGAAAGUUUAGCUGAAGUGGACACAGGUGAAAGGCUAAGGCAGAUUCGUGAGGGAACAUUUGCUGAAGCAGACACAGGAGAGCAGAUGUUCU